This 67-nucleotide transfer RNA is filed under the name Xylobanus sp. UPOL 000071. Its description in RNAcentral is "tRNA-Phe". The record is from RNAcentral. Lineage: Eukaryota; Metazoa; Arthropoda; Insecta; Coleoptera; Lycidae.
AAUAUUUUAAAGUUUAUCAACUAUCUUAAUAUCUUCAAUAUUACACUUUAUUUAAGCUAUUAAAAUU